CUUGUCGUGCUCCCGGGACAUCUCCUUCUUCAGUCUGUGUUCGGUAUACACCAGAUAGGAAAAACCUGCCUGAGGAUUAUGUAAAGACCUGAAGUACAUCACAGAUUCCCCUUCCCCCUUCUGUCCCCAUCAGAGUCGCUUCUGAAGUCACCUCGUUACAGUGUGAAUCUCUUGAAUAUAUGUUUUUCGAUGAGUGUUAGGUACUCACCCCUUGUCCUUUUGGUAGAGCCGGCUUCAGGCAGUUUGGCAAGGAGGAAACGUAGAUCCUGCUUCACAACGCGUUGCCUACAGCUCCCCUUGGGGUAUCCUCAAGAACAAAAAAAAUCCUGCUGGAGUUUGAGAGUUUUAGAUACCAAAAGCUCAAAAAUCCAGGAGACCUCGGGGAAGGAGCGCUUGCUUCCCUUCCCUGGAAUGUCAGAAUCACACAAUCCUAAGCGAGUAUCGCACAGAGAAAACCAUCUCAGAAUAUUGGUUAGGUCGGAUGGGGAAAAGAAAUGCCAAGGUAUUUUAUUUUUCACUUUGAACCUCCCGCGCCCUUUGCAGGGAUCCUCACUUUGCUGUGGCAUACCCUGAAGAGUCACGAGGCAAAAAUGAAGUAUCCAGGGGGUUUAGUGUAGCAGCCUGUGUCCUAACAGGAAGGGGGCCUGGUGAGGAGGCACCUCGGGAUCACCCUGGCAUGGGUUUUGAAAUGUUUGUCAAACCAUGGGGGAGGGAGGAGCAGGGAAAAAGCUGGGCUCUCCAGGCGGGUUGUACCUAGGAAUGUUUGUUCCUAAACCAGUGCAGCCAAUAUCUGGAAUGGAACUGUAGGCAUCGCUGCUCUGUGGACAGCAGAGGCAGCCAGAGCCGGAAGGGGAGAAGGCUCCGGUUCUCCGCAGAGCAGGCAGUGAGAGGUUUGGCUUUGGGGGACGUGGUGUGGCUCUGCCCGGUGGGGGGUGGGGGUGUUGUGGUGUAAGUAGGCAGCGGAAAAUAGGUCUGAGAUUCUGCAGUUCCUAACGACAGGUACCAAGAGGUUAUGAUACGGGUUGGGGGGUCUGUGAUGUACAGUGGGAAUAAAUGCUUGUGGCUCUUAGGCUUUUUUUGAUCAAUGAAGCACUUUUUUAAUUAAUAUUAUUUUUCUUUGUAUGUAAAGGAGGAACCAGUAUCUCUCCGUAGCUGUACAUAUACCCCUUCUCUCCUCAAGAGAGUAAAGUGCUCCUCUAUUUUUCAUUUUUGUCAAAGUGAGAAGUAAAUACUUUAGAACUGUUAAAUAUAUAAAUAAAAGUGAAUAAAGUUUAGCCUUUUGCAUGGGAGCAUUUGCUAACACACUUUCUAAUUUUUUUUUAUUUUUCUCCCUUGCCUUCCGUGGGGGAUACAUUUGAAGUUCAGCAGAAACACCAAGGCCUUUGAGAACGGAGGCGGCAGCAGGGCCUCCUCUCGCUUUCUGUUCCACUCUGUGUCCUUGCAAGGAACAACAAACUGUUGCUCCUAAACUUAGGAGAAAAAAAAAAACAUUAAGCUUGGUUUUCCUGGCACAAGAGUCCCAGGGAGGGGGGGAAAGACACAAACUGCCUGCACCCCCAGGUCCCCUCAGCACAAUCCGCAGGGGUUUCCCAAGGCUGGAGAACUCCCGAGAGCCUCAUCUUCCUCGGUACCUUGUUUUGCUCUCUUCCCCUAAUCAGCCACCGUAUUUGAGAUGUUUAGCCCAAGCAUAGGAGCGGCCUGGGCCCCCAAGGGAUUCACCUGGCUUUCGGUGACACCUGGAAAGGGAAGCUCGAUGUCUCCCUUCCCCUGCUGUGAGCCGGCACCGGCACUCGCCGCAGUGGGGAGAGCGGCGCUGGGUUCUCACUCACACACUUUCUGCCUUACUCUCAAUGCUGGAUGGUGGAGCCGCGGCUCUUCGGGAACAAACCAAACUCACUCAGGUUUAAUCUCUUUUGAUCUUUUCCUAGAAGGUGGAAAACUCCAUUGCUGUUUGUCCCGCCAAAGCCUCCUGUGCGAGGCUCUGACUCUUCUCGUGCUCCUGGGGCCGCUUGCUUGUUUUGGCCGCUGGGCUGCAUGCGCUCCCCUCGCAUCAUCUCCUGCUCCCUUAUUUCUUUUCUUGCGUAUUUGAAGUUGAAAGAGAGAGCAAGGAUUUGCCCUGAAUUCUACGGGGGGCCAAAGAGCUCCUUGAGCAAUGGGGAGUUAUUUUGGGAGAGGCCUGUUCUAAUCGCAAGCCGUUGCACACAGUUGCUUUAUAAUCUCAUGGUAUUUAUUGAAUCAAAUAAAACGGAUUCUGGGCAGAGCCGUGCUUGCGGCUGGCGGUAGCAUUUGCAGCUUCAAGAAUAAAAAAGAAAAGCACAGAUCGUGUUUUGCACUACCAAGAACAGGCGAAGGAACAGCUUUUCAGUUCUGCACCAGAACUGGAUUUUUCUGGAGCACCUUUCGUACUUGAGUUACUUCCAAGUGCGUUUUCAGUAACUCAUUACCCUGUAGCGUGGCGGCUGUCGAUGUUACGUGGACACCCAGUACUCCCAGCCCCGGACACCGCACCGCUUGGAUGUUCCCUGCUUCGGAAAUGCUGAGUGAACCCCCGCGGGUCUCCUCUGCUGCUGUUGGAUGGUGUCAGAGAGCUUUUUAACUUCCAGCUCUCCACCAGCGCAAGUGCCUGAAGGGAGAGCAGCGCUGCCGUCGCCACGCGCAGCUUCAGUGCUGCCCGACUGUGCUGUAAAACAAAUCUCCUUAGGCAAAGGCGAUUUGCCUGGCUUAUCAGGAGUCUUGCAAAUAGCGUUAGCGGCUGAGGAACGCAACAGUUGUUGAGAACCAGAGGCCCCUCAGGUCCCCAGGUAGGGAACAGUGAGCCCAGCCUCUCCUCGCCAGCCAAGGUGGCACAGGAGUCGUUUGGCAGCAGCAAUCUCAUGGGUUGGGCGGUCAAUUGUACGGGUGAGGUACUGUGCCGGCAGCGUGCAGGACGGAAAGCCAGAGGCUCUUUGGUGGUGCUGGGAACCGCUCCGCUCCCCAGGAAGGGCUGGCGGUGUGGAAUUGAGCCCUUGCUGGGAGAGGUUUUGAGCUGUUGUGUUGCUGCGAAGGGCAAUGGCCACAUGCAGGAAAGCUGAGUGGAUUCAGAGCCCCUUUAACAGACGGGGGCUGCAGGUAUUUUACAGUCAGUCUGUAAUUGCCCCUCUUGUAGAUCCUGAAUUACUUGGCAUGAAGCUUUGAGAAAACCAUGUCCAGGGCCGGUCAGAAGAUGAUGUUUACUGGGCUGUGCUGGAAGGAGAAUCUCAGGAGGUGCUCGGGCAGUGCUGAGUGAGGGCUGGCUCUCUGGCAUUUGCUGGGGUGCAGGAGCCGGGUUGGGUUUUACAUAGUCCUUAGAGCUGCCCUCACUCUCUCGCACUGCUUGGAACCAGCUCCUGAGUUCCACGGCAUUACCUGCCUCGGUUAAGAAUCAAAAGCAGCAAUUUGGGCUCUUUCUGAGUGGUGAGGCAGGCGAGCGAUGCGGCCUCUGCAGCGGCGCGGGCUGCGCUGCGCCUGCUCCCGGCGCUUUUCCCUCUGCAGGAGAGGGCAGCGAUUCCUGAGGCAGCUCGGCACCCUCCCGGGCAGGCCCAGCACCAGCCCAGACAGGGGGAGGUUUCAUUUUAAAGAAUUCAGCUCGGGGGUUUUUGUUAAAAGAGGGAAUCCACCAGCCUAAGAGCAAGGGUGCCGGAAGAGAAACAGAACCUUCCAGUAGAGCCAUGUCUGUGCAAGCGCUUGUCUGUCUGUCCGUCCCUGCGCCAUGCGGCUAUGCUGCUUCCCGGGCAGAGGAAUGACAAAUUCCCUUCCCUUCGUUUCACACGCGCACCCCACAGGCGUUGGAGCUGGGAUUUCGGGAUUUGAGAUUACCGUGUUCUUUGGACUUUCAAAGUUUUUAAAUGCUGCUAAAGUUUUACCUUACUAUUUAACAGACACGUUUUUUAAACCCAUUUCCCACAGUUGUGUUAUUAAAUGAUUUUUACCUUGCAGUGGCAACAGGUGAUGCGUUUGAUUGUACAUUACUAUUUUUUUUUUGGUGAAAUUUGUAUUGAAAUGACAUCCGAAGUCUUGAUUAAUUACUUCAAGAACAUUAAAUGUUUUAAACCACGCAAACCUACAAGAGCAGAGAGCUGUGUAGCAGCGGUAUAAAGUGUUAGACCCUAGUGCUUAUUUGUUUGUAACAGCAUUUAUUCUGCUGUAGCCUCAGAGUGAAUAUUUAGAUCUUAAUAAAUUUGUCAUUUUCCUACAUGG
Egretta garzetta (little egret) is the source of this 4215-nucleotide long non-coding RNA. RefSeq lists it as uncharacterized. NCBI's taxonomy places the organism in Eukaryota, Metazoa, Chordata, Aves, Pelecaniformes, Ardeidae. The record is from RefSeq and is a predicted model, not a curated record. The transcript is spliced from 2 exons.